CUACGGGCUGCAGCAGUGAGGAAUAUUGCACAAUGGGGGGAACCCUGAUGCAGCAACGCCGCGUGGAGGAUGACGCAUUUCGGUGUGUAAACUCCUUUUAUAUGUCAAGAAAAUGACGGUAGCAUAUGAAUAAGCACCGGCUAACUCCGUGCCAGCAGCCGCGGUAAUACGGAGGGUGCAAGCGUUACUCGGAAUCACUGGGCGUAAAGGACGCGUAGGCGGGUUGGAAAGUCAGGUGUGAAAUCCUACAGCUUAACUGUAGAACUGCACUUGAAACUUCUAAUCUAGAGUAUGGGAGGGGAGAGGGAAUUAGUGGUGGAGGGGUAAAAUCCGUAGAUAUCACUAGGAAUACCUAAAGCGAAGGCGAUCUCCUGGAACAUUACUGACGCUAAGGCGUGAAAGCGUGGGGAGAAAACAGGAUUAGAUACCCCGGUAGUC
RNAcentral lists this ribosomal RNA (438 nucleotides) under uncultured bacterium. RNAcentral describes it as "partial 16S ribosomal RNA". It matches the Rfam family "Bacterial small subunit ribosomal RNA", at positions 339 to 795 of the family's 1533-position model. The record is from RNAcentral.